CAAUUUGAAGACAGUUAGUAAAAACAGACAUGUCAGUGUUCAUUAAUCAAAGCUAAAUUAACACUAAUUAAAUAUUUCACAGAUAAACCAUUUAAUAUGUGUCUCCUUACAGGAGUUUACUAUGAUGAAAAUUGCAAUGGUACGUAACCCAUGAAGUGCUGGUGGUUGGUUUUGGAAUUGAGGAUGGAAUGAACUAUUGGCUGGUUAAAAACAGCUGGGGAACAGACUGGGGUGAAGACGGGUACAUCAAAAUUGCUAAGGAUAGAGGGAAUAACUGUGAAAUUGCCAGUUUUGUGCGGUACCCUGUCGUGUAACGAGCCAACUGAUAAGACAGAGCUUCAUCAAUCCCAGCUGAAUGAUAAACCGGAUCAUUUCGGUUAAUGCUGACUCAUUCAAAGACAUUGCUUUCAUUGUCUGUUGCAAAUUUAAAAAGUGAAAUAAUAACGAUUUUUGCACAUUUCUAUCGCUUCAUAUAAAACCAAUGGCAUUGUCUGAUUGAUACAUAUAGCCACUGUAAAUGAUAGAAUGAAUACAUUCUCCAGCUUGUAGAAGACAAUAAUCUGCAUGUACUGCUGAUGUCCAACAAUAUAAUAAAGGCUGCCAGCAAUCA
This is a non-coding RNA of Chiloscyllium plagiosum (whitespotted bambooshark), 610 nucleotides long. The record is from RefSeq and is a predicted model, not a curated record. Lineage: Eukaryota; Metazoa; Chordata; Chondrichthyes; Orectolobiformes; Hemiscylliidae.